UACGGGAGGCAGCAGUGAGGAAUAUUGGUCAAUGGCCGAGAGGCUGAACCAGCCAAGUAGCGUGCAGGAUGACGGCCCUAUGGGUUGUAAACUGCUUUUAUGCGGGGAUAAAGUCGGCUACGUGUAGCCGUUUGUAGGUACCGCAUGAAUAAGGACCGGCUAAU
This 164-nucleotide ribosomal RNA is filed under the name uncultured rumen bacterium. RNAcentral describes it as "partial 16S ribosomal RNA". It matches the Rfam family "Bacterial small subunit ribosomal RNA", at positions 340 to 501 of the family's 1533-position model. The record is from RNAcentral.